AUGCAGGUGGAAUACAGGGCGCUCAUGGAGAACCGGACGUGGACACUCGUGUCGCGCCCUCGGAACGCCAACAUUGUCACCGGCAAAUGGUUGUUCCACCACAAACUCAACUCCGACGGCAGCCUGGAGCGCUACAAGGCCCGCUGGGUGCUUCGAGGUUUCACUCAACGUCCCGGCGUGGACUUCAACGAAACCUUCUCGCCCGUUGUCAAGGCCGCCACGAUCCGGGUCGUCCUCACGAUCGCCGCCUCGCGCCAGUGGCCUGUCCACCAGAUGGACGUGAACAAUGCCUUCCUCCACGGCCGUCUCACCGAGCAGGUGUACUGCCAAUAG
Molecule: ribosomal RNA, 333 nt
Filed under: Triticum aestivum (bread wheat)
Lineage: Eukaryota; Viridiplantae; Streptophyta; Magnoliopsida; Poales; Poaceae
Description: partial small subunit ribosomal RNA
Source: RNAcentral